AGUAAUGCAUAGGAAACUGCCCAGUAGUGGGGGAUAGCCCGGGGAAACCCGGAUUAAUACCGCGCACGCCCUUCGGGGGAAAGCAGGGGAUCUUCGGACCUUGCGCUAUUGGAUGUGCCUAUGUCGGAUUAGCUAGUUGGUGGGGUAAAGGCCUACCAAGGCGACGAUCCGUAGCUGGUCUGAGAGGAUGAUCAGCCACAUCGGGACUGAGACACGGCCCGAACUCCUACGGGAGGCAGCAGUGGGGAAUAUUGGACAAUGGGGGCAACCCUGAUCCAGCCAUGCCGCGUGUGUGAAGAAGGCUUUCGGGUUGUAAAGCACUUUCAGCGAGGAGGAAAACUCUGCGACUAAUACUCGUAGGGCUUGACGUUACUCACAGAAGAAGCACCGGCUAACUCCGUGCCAGCAGCCGCGGUAAUACGGAGGGUGCAAGCGUUAAUCGGAAUUACUGGGCGUAAAGCGCGCGUAGGUGGUUUGAUAAGCGAGAUGUGAAAGCCCCGGGCUUAACCUGGGAACGGCAUUUCGAACUGUCAGGCUAGAGUAUGGUAGAGGGUAGUGGAAUUUCCUGUGUAGCGGUGAAAUGCGUANAUAUAGGAAGGAACACCAGUGGCGAANGCGGCUACCUGGACCAAUACUGACACUGAGGUGCGAAAGCGUGGGGAGCAAACAGG
Molecule: ribosomal RNA, 671 nt
Filed under: marine bacterium enrichment culture clone K12-F6-S3
Lineage: Bacteria
Description: bacterial SSU rRNA
Rfam family: Bacterial small subunit ribosomal RNA
Source: RNAcentral